Molecule: long non-coding RNA, 6461 nt
Filed under: Sus scrofa (pig)
Lineage: Eukaryota; Metazoa; Chordata; Mammalia; Artiodactyla; Suidae
Description: lncRNA (ENSSSCG00025004949.1)
Source: RNAcentral
CAUUUCUUGGGCCGCUCUUUCGGCACAUGGAGGUUCCCAGGCUAGGGGUCCAAUCGGUGCCGUAGCCCCCAGCCUACGCCAGAGCCACAGCAACGCGGGAUCCGAGCCGUGUCUGCAACCUACACCACAGCUCACGGCAACGCCAGAUCUUCAACCCACUGAGCAAGGGCAGGGAUCGAACCCGCAACCUCAUGGUUCCUAGUCGGAUUCGUUAACCACUGCGCCACCACGGGAACUCCGAGAAUCAGAGUCUUAUUUUUGCUCUUCCCUUGAUAUUCUUCUGCUCCUAUGUGGAUUUUUUUUGUGUGUGUGUUUUAUUAUUAUUUAAAAAAUUUUUAUUGAAGUAUAGUUGAUUUACAAUUUUAUGUUUAUUUUUGCUGUGUAGCAAAGUGACUAUAUAUAUAAUGAAUAUGAAAAAUAAUGUAUAUAUGUAUAUAUAUACAUAUAUAAAACUGAGUCACUUUGCUGUAUAUCAGAAAUUAAAACAACAUUGUAAAUGUUAUUUUAAUGUAUACACAUAUACCAUACAUGUGUAUAUAUAUGUUAUAUUCUUUUUCAUAUUAUUUUCCAUUAUAGUUUAUCACAGGAUAUUGAAUAUAUUUCCCUGUGCCAUAUGGUAGAACCUUGUUUAUCCAUACUUUAUAUACUAGUUUGCCUCUGUUAAUCCCAAAUCCCAAUCAUUCCCUCCUCAACUCUCUCCCACUUGACAACCACAAGUCUGUACUCUAUAUCUGUGUUUGUUUUUGUUUCAUAGAUAUGUUGAGUUGUGUCAUAAUCUAGAUUCCGCAUGUAAGUGAUAUCAUGUGGUAUUUGUCUUUCUCUUUCUGACUGACUUCACUUAGUAUGAUAAUCUCUAGUUGCAUCAGUGUCGCUGCAAAUGGCCAUUAUUUCAUUCUUUUUUAUGGCUGGAUAUUAUUCCAUUGCUUAUAUGUAACACAUCAUAUUAAUCCAUUCAUCCGUUGAUGGACAUUUAGAUUUUUUCCAUGUCUUGGCUAUUGUGAAUAGAGCUGUAAUGAACAUAGAGGUACAUGUAUCAAAUUAGAGUUUUGUCCAGUUGUAUGCCCAGGAGUGGGAUUGUUGAAUCAUAUAUAUGAUAACUCUAUUUUUAGUGUUUUGAGGAGCUUCCAUACUGUUUUCUGUAGCAGAUGCACCAAUUUUCAUUCCCACCAACAGUGCAGGAGGGCCCUCAUUUCUCUACACCCUCUCCAGCAUUUUUUAUUUGUAGACAUUUUGGUGAUGGCCAUUCUGAUUAGUCUAAGGUGGUAUCUCAUUGUAGUUUUGAUUUGCAUAUCUCUAGUAAUUAGUGAUGCAGAGCAUCCUUAGGUUCUGGCUGGCCAGCCAUAUGUCUUCUUUGGAGAAAUGUCUAUUUAGGUCUUCCGCCCAUUUUUCAAUUGGGUUGUUUGUUAUUUUGAUAUUGAGUUGUACAAGCUGUUUGUAUAUUUUGGAAAUUAAGCCCUUGUUGGUCUCUCUGGUGUCUAUUUGUGGAUGCAAAGAAUGUGUGGGAAUCUGUAACCAAAUGCACAAGGCCGUGAUGGGUAAUGGAUAUCACCUAGCAAUGGCCAGCAGCAUCUGAGCCUCAGGCGGUGGCCCAGCUAAAAUGUAGAGGCUUUCUGGGGAAAAUUCUGUUAGUAACAAUAGGGUUAUUGAGGUCCUACUGUGUGGAAGAGUUUCAAAUGCUUUGUUUCUGAGAUUGACAUCAUUAUCCCUGUUUUAUAGAUAAAACAGUGAAACUUAGAGAUGUUAAGUAAGGUUACACAGCUAAGGCAACAAGAAGGAACCCAGGUCUGGGGUCUUCAACGGUGUUACCUUUUUCACUGCCUUACAGUUGCCCUUGAAUGCUAGGUGGCUAAGGAUUGGCUCAGGGAACCAGCUGGCAUGUACCUGGAGACUUGCUAGAGAGUGAGGGGGUCAUUGCAGCAAACGUUUGUGACUUCUUACAAAAGGUAUGGUUUUAGUGCAUCAGUAUUCCAGUCAGUAUUGCUGUGAAACACGCUACCCCCACAUAGCAUAAAACAGCCCUUCAUAUACUCACAGUUUCAUGAGUCAGGAAUUUGGACAGGGCAGAGUGGAGUUGUCUUACCUCUGCUCCAUGACAUGUGAGGUCUCAUGCCUUUUGAUGGGAGGUGACAAGAUUCCAGCAAGGCAAAUGGGCCAGCACGUAUUGCUGUGGCCACUUGUGGACAAUACAGUCUGCCACGGUCGUUAUAAAUGUUGUGAAGGAAGGAAGGGAGAUAGGUAACUGGGAAGGAAAUGUCUUAAUGAAGUGCCCGGGUCUCUAGCAAAUCUCAGAGUAGUGAAAAGGAAUUAGGAAAAUCUUGGAAAGGCAAAGAAGUUCCAGUGCAAAUGGGGAGUAUUUGAAAAGGCUUCCAGUUGAAGACCCCAUCUAAAAAAAAAGCAGUGAUUGCUGGCUGCCCUUGAUUUAGUCCACUGGCCUGACUUCUGCUCUUCCUGCAGCCUCAGGUGGCCUCCACUGGCUGGAACUGCUUGUCCUGGAUAACCUUUGACAGCCCAGUCCCAGGCAAGACCAUAACAGCUUGCCUGCCUUUCUUCAUGGCUUAGCCUCAAGCCUCCUUUUACCAGAGAUUUGGAGUUUCAUUAAAUCAGGGCUUGAACUGAGAAAUAACGACUGCCUUUAUAUGCACUGGCUCUUUACUGGCAAGCUAUUAGGGGGAAGAUAAGGUUCUAUAACACUGCAGGAAUAAAGCCCAGAAAAUUAUGCGAAAAGCUCCACCAUCCUGGAUAAAUGUUAUAGGAGGCAUUAACCUUCCAUAAAAAUCCCUUUGCUAGGCAGGAAUUUAAAUGACAGCCACUGUGAGAGGAGAUAUUUAGCCUCAGAAACAUAUUAUAUUGCCACCUUCUCUAAGAAUAGCAAGUUCUUUGGUUUUCAGCUGUUGAGUUCUGUUCCUCUUUCUCAUAGAAAUGCCCAGUAUAAUAGCAAAUAUGUAGAUGUGAUUUUCUGGGUAGACCCCCUAUAUUGUACUGUAUCCUUCCCAAGAAGUCAUAUAUGUAUUCUCUGCUUUUAUUUAGGAAAAUUGAAUAAGAAAUUGAUAUCCAAGGAAAGCUGAAACAAACCCUUGUGAUAGCCUCCAAAUCACUUGUCUUGAGGGAAAAAUAAUUUUUUUCCCUAAGGUAUAAGUGUGAUUCUCCAAUGAAUGUGUUAGGCCAUAAAUUACAGUGAUUAUCCUCUCUUUUUGUAUAAAUGUGACUCUUCUAGCAAACAAGCCAGCAAAAGCACAGGGCAGAGACUUUAUAUGGAAGUUGAUGCAUGUUCUGCAUACAUAUUUAUAUAUAUUGGGGGAAAAUCUUAGGCAAUAGCGUAAAAGGAAUUAGUCUGCUUUAAAUAGUUAACUGCUGUGUCUCAGGAGUUUGUUCCCUGGUGGCUUAGUGGGUUAGGGAUCUGGCAUUGUCACUGCUGUGGCUUGGGUCACUGCUGUGGCCAGAGUGCCAUCCCUGUUCUCAGAACUUCUGCAUUCUGCAGCUGCUUCUUGCCCUUCCAGUUUGGUGUGAAAAUGAUGCUGAUGCUGAAUUUCCCAGUGGGCUAAGUGGAUGUAAGUUGUCACUCCCACUGUCUUGGGUUCCACUUGUCCAGGAAUCCAUAAAUCGGGAAUGAUUUUUCUAUCUGUUGACUGAGCAGCUUUGCAAAUAUCCUUUGGGGGACCAAAAUGAAAAUUUAUCUCAACGAGUAGUUGAGAAAUCCACAGUUGUCCCUUAGUUCAUUUAAUCAAAUUGACAUACUUAUGAGGUAAUAACUAUAAGAAUUUUAAGACUUUUUCUAGACUAAAUCACAACACAACCAAACAGAUUAACUUUGAAGGUUGGAAGCCACUCCAAAGAAAUGAAAGGAAAAUAGAUCUUCCAAAAGGCUUUAUGGUUUUUCCUAAUGAUAAAAUAAUGAUGCACCCAAUUAAUUUGUAUUAGAUAAUAUUUAUUUAGAAUAUUAAAAAGCUUGGUGCUUUAAAGUGGACUAAGUGAAAAAAAAAAGUCUUCAGAGGACUGUAUCUGAUCCCAAAUGAGAUUUGUUAUUUUUAGGAAGAGGGAAACUAACAUUUCUCGAGGGUCAAGAUGUGCCAGGCACUGUACUCAUUAAAUCCCUUUGAUCACUGGGUAAUGUAGGUAUUAUUAUUCCAUUUUUUUACAUAUAAAAAACCCACAGCCUAGAGAGGUCUACUACCUUGCUCAGACUGCAGAUUACCUGGACUAAAUCACAGUAUGUUGCUCAUCAGAAUCAUUCCAGGGUCUUUAGAAUUUCUCUAAAUUCCAAAAUGGCCAGCCAGUUUCUUAUGUGACACACCUAACUGAAAUAUCUGGUUCUUCCAUCCAAUUAAAUCUAAUCCAUUGACAAAUCCUCUCAGGUGUACUCUUAAACUGAUCACAAACCCAUGUAUUUCUUUCUGAUGUCACUGGAAUCAUUGUUAGAGCCCUGGCCAUCAUCAUCUCUGACCCUUUCCAUGGUUUCUAGGUGUGCUCCCUGCUUCCAUGCUUGCUCACCUGUCAUCAUUCAGAGUGCUCAGAACCAUCUUCUAAGAAAUUAAGAUAAAAUGAGUUUCUCCUCUGUUUGGAACUCUGCUGAUUACCUACUAUACCUAGAAUGAAAUUGGCAUUUCUUACCUUGGCUUAUAAGACCUGGUGGAAUCUGACCCCAGCCUUCCUAUCUUAUCUCAUCUCCUACAUGCUCUGCUUUGCUCUGCAAGCUCCACUCCCCACAGACAUUUGACCAUUGCUAGAAAAAAGCAAGCUCUUUCCUGCUUCUGGCUCUUUUUCACUCCAUAGGAUGGUCUUCUCUUGGCUCAUUAUACGGCUGGAGUGUUGCCCUUCAGGUCUUGGUACAAAAACUGGUUUCUCUGGGAGACCUUCAAUCACCACUCUCUUCAAGAAGCUCCCUCCACCAUGUUAUUUGGCAUCACAGUGCCUAGCUUGCAUUCUUCAUGGUGCUUGCCACUAACUGUAAUUAUAUAGUUGGUGUAUUUUCUUACUUAUUAUCUUUCCCUGCUCUUUACCCAGCUCAAAUCAAGUCACGUAUGACCAGGAACCCUUAUCUAUCACAUUCUGUGCUGUUAGUAAGUUCCUGAGCCAUGGUAGGUACUUAACAAACCUUUGAUGCAAAAAUUAAUCCAUACUCAAGUGGUCUUUCUGCUCUUAAAACCCCUCCCUAACCCAAGUCACAAAGUCUAUUUAACAAUCCAUCAUCUUUUCAGUAUCUUAUUGGGUAAAACUGUUGGAGUUGACUUUAGAAUCCUGGUCUCUACUCCCAUCACAGCCAUUUACUUGCUAUAUGACCUGAAGCAAGUCAUUAUUCCUCUCCAGAUGAUCUUCAAAUCCCCUCGGAGACCUGAUCCCAGAUUGUUUCCAGUUUCACUCUUGCUGUCCCCAUGAAGUGACUGUAAUAGAAGCAACUUGGUUUUAACUAAGUCAUUAUGUUGAGAUGCAGCCUGCAAUUUAUUUAGGUGGACCCGGUGUUUCCCCUCUGUUUGGAGACUCUUGGGUGGUGGUAAUGGAGUGUGUCAGGUGAUGAUGUCUGGGGAAAAGUGAUCCUUCCAGGAAGCAUUUCCCAAGAGAGGCAGAUGGGAUUUAUUGCUGGCAGCCACUGAUGGGGAGAAACCCAUAUGCCUUUUGCAAAACCUUGGCCUGCCUGAACAAGCACAGAGAAGCUAGAACUUUAUAGUGUAUAGUGUCUGUGGCAUCUCAGCCUCAUCACCUUAAGAACAAGAGUUCCUCACCAGAAAUCCCAGGCUGUAAAGGUGGUUAGAGGUCAGGAAACGUCAGUUCCUCCACGUGGGCUGGAUCUGCACUGGAUUGGCUGCCUGUCCUGUGCCUCCUGCUUUUCGGAACCAUCUGCUUUCUUCUGCAGUGUUUAUCUGGGAAUGAAGGAAGGGAGCGAGGUGGGUGCUCUUUGCUGAACUAAAUGCUCUGUGUUCAUUGCCUCACCAGAUGCUAUGAGAGGGUUAUUAUUUUCAUGCUGUUCCCAUUUUCCAGAUGGGGACACUGAGGCAUAGAGAGAGAUUGAGGGACUUGCUUGAAUCCCCAGUGUUAGGAAGUGGCAACAUUCUGUUGUACUCACUUUGCCAUCUCUAAUCCUCUCUUGUGUUGUUGGUCAGUUUCUGGUGUCACAGGGAACCCUGAACUCCACAGAAGGAACCCUUUUCAGGGACUAUUUGAAAGGUCACUGUGAUGGAUCAAGUAUGUGGCAAACGAAGUCCCUGCGACCAAGCUUUAUAACUUGAAAAAUAAAAUCAGGCAAAUGGCAUCAGAUUCCACAGGGAUACAAAUAAAUAACUGUAAAGAAGAAUCCUCUGCUUCAUGGGGGGAAAAAUAAAAGCAUUAAUGUGAACCUUAAGAAAUAUAUAGUUUUCUCUGUAUCCCUAUUGGCAUCAUGGCUUUUGACUGUUUUAGGAAAGCUUAAAUUUUUCCCAAGUCAGCAAAUAAACCUUCUAGAAGGUUAUCUGGGGCCUGAAAGAGAAGAU